This 492-nucleotide ribosomal RNA is filed under the name uncultured bacterium. Its description in RNAcentral is "partial 16S ribosomal RNA". It matches the Rfam family "Bacterial small subunit ribosomal RNA", at positions 29 to 507 of the family's 1533-position model. The record is from RNAcentral.
AGUGAACGCUGGCGGUAGGCCUAACACAUGCAAGUCGAACGGCAGCACAGUAAGAGCUUGCUCUUACGGGUGGCGAGUGGCGGACGGGUGAGGAAUACAUCGGAAUCUACUUUUUCGUGGGGGAUCACGUAGGGAAACUUACGCUAAUACCGCAUACGCCCUACGGGUGAAAGCAGGGGAUCUUCGGACCUUGCGCGAUUGAAUGAGCCGCUGUCGGAUUAGCUAGUUGGCGGGGUAAAGGCCCACCCAGGCGACGAUCCGUAGCUGGUCUGAGAGGAUGAUCAGCCACACUGGAACUGAGACACGGUCCAGACGCCUACGGGAGGCAGCAGUGGGGAAUAGUGGACAAUGGGCGCAAGCCUGAUCCAGCCAUACCGCGUGGGUGAAGAAGGCCUUCGGGUUGUAAAGCCCUUUUGUUGGGAAAGAAAAGCAGCAGGUUAAGACCCCGCUGUUCUGACGGUACCCAAAGAAUAAGCACCGGCUAACUUCGUG